AACGAACGCUGGCGGCAUGCCUAACACAUGCAAGUCGAACGAGACCUUCGGGUCUAGUGGCGCACGGGGGCGUAACGCGUGGGAACCUGCCCUUAGGUUCGGAAUAACUCCCCGAAAGGGGUGCUAAUACCGGAUAAUGUCUUCGGACCAAAGAUUUAUCGCCCUUGGAUGGGCCCGCGUUGGAUUAGCUAGUUGGUAGGGUAAAAGCCUACCACGGCGACGAUCCAUAGCUGGUCUGAGAGAAAGAUCAGCCACACUGGGACUGAGACACGGCCCAGACUCUUACGGGAGGCAGCAGUGGGGAAUAUUGGACAAUCGGCGGAAGCCUGAUCCAGCAAUGCCGCGUGAGUGAUGAAGGCCGUAGGGUUGUAAAGCUCUUUUACCCGGGAUGAUAAUGACAGUACCGGGAGAAUAAGCUCCGGCUAACUCCGUG
RNAcentral lists this ribosomal RNA (433 nucleotides) under uncultured bacterium. RNAcentral describes it as "partial 16S ribosomal RNA". It matches the Rfam family "Bacterial small subunit ribosomal RNA", at positions 29 to 507 of the family's 1533-position model. The record is from RNAcentral.